GGCCACCAUAUUUCAAAAUUCAAAACCCAUUCUCCUCCCUCAUCUGAUCUCUCUCCAUCUAUCUCUCCGCCUGCCGGUACCGAAGCUGUUCGCCGUCACCGGAGCAAACACAGAAACUGCCCGCGAUGCAAAUAGAGGAACCAUCGGUAGACUUUUCCUCUGUUCGCGGAAACUGAAGCUCGAUCCCUUUGCAGCUACUCAGCAUAGAUGACUGUCGUUGGCGGUGUUGCAAUCUUGCAGAGAUAUGGCGUCGGAGCGCAUCUUGAAGGAACUCAAAGAUUUGCAUAAGGACCCUCCUACGACCGGUGAAGAAGUUCAAGAAGUUAAGAGGCACCAGCUCAUCAGCAAGAUAGUGAUGCUGGAAAGCUAAUCAAAGGAUAUUCACUGUCCGAAAAAAAAAGAGAAGAAUGGUGGUAGAGAUCUUGCCGUUAAAGGUGCUAUCGACUGUGAGGCAGAGUGACCAAAAGAGAAUCAGAAGCAAUAGAAGAAAUAGUGUUGCAACAAAGGAGAAAGAAACCGUCGGUAGAAACUUUUCAUUUGUUUGCGAAAAUUGAAACUGGAUUCGUUUGCGGUUACUCAACAUUGAUGGCUGUCAUUGGUGGUGUUGCAAAGGUAAUUUAUUUUUUAAGAGUUAGAAUAAUUAUACGAAUCCUUGUGUUUAUGUAAAAUCGUUGGCUGUUGUUGUGUUUAUACAAUCGGUUAAUGAACUGAUAAUGGAUCUCAGAUUCAGUUUCAGAGCUUGAAUAAUUCGUGCAGAAUGGGUUAGCUUCCUUAACCACAUCCAUCUUUUUUAUCCUUUGGAUUAUUUUGAAAAUUAUUAUUUAGCUUUAACACUAGAAAAAUUAAAAAAGUUUUCAUUUUUUCUAAUCUGAGAUAAGUAAUUUUUGGUGCCCCAUUCAUUGUUUCAUUGAUUCUCCGAGAAGUUGGUGCUUACUUUUUUAUUUUUACUAAUUUUAUUUUUUUAAUCACAUUAUACAUGCUUUCAAGAAGAACCAUCAGUAAAGUAGUUGGAAUUUUUAGAGUCCCCACAUGCUAUCUAUUGGAAGGCUAAGCUUGAAGACACAACCUGUUUGAUGAAAAGACAGAAAAGCUAAAGAAGAUCAAUGAGGCAACUGAAGGGAAUAAUAAGAAAGAAUAAGUUAAAAAUGAAGGUGCUGAUAAGGAGGAUGUGGAACCAGUGAAAGAGUAAGAGGGAAAAAAAACUGAAGCAGAGGAGAAAAGUGUUGGAGUGGAGAUGAAGACAGUGAUAUAGUUCUUCUCAAGUUUCUGAGGGUUAUGGAGUUCAAAGUCAGUGAUGCACUUGAGAUGCUGAAGAGCUCAAUUUUCACCCUUUUUUUUAAAUAAAUAGUAGCUCAUACAUAAUCUACUUUAAAUUAGAAGUUACUAAAAAAAUAGAAUAAAAAAAAAAUCUACUCUAAAUAUUAUAUUAUGAUAUUUGUGCUCUUUCAUACGAAUUUGUUAGAUCAUUGUAAGAUAAAUAAUAUUUGAAACUAUGGAUUUGGCAGGUAAGAGACAUGCAAAAUGAUGAGAUGUAGGAUAUAAAAUGGAUUUUCCUAGGCCAACAUGUUGUUUUCUCUUAAUAAAUUUUAAAAUAUUUA
Molecule: long non-coding RNA, 1598 nt
Organism: Arachis duranensis
Lineage: Eukaryota; Viridiplantae; Streptophyta; Magnoliopsida; Fabales; Fabaceae
Exons: 5
Source: RefSeq, a predicted model, not a curated record